ACUACCACCACUGAAGGCAGCUGAUGUCUC
RNAcentral lists this non-coding RNA (30 nucleotides) under Homo sapiens (human). Lineage: Eukaryota; Metazoa; Chordata; Mammalia; Primates; Hominidae. The record is from RNAcentral.